AUGGCACAGGCUAUGAAAAUAAUGUAUCUUUGCAGAAUGCACCUUGGAUGGUGGAGAAGGAAACUGGAGAAGAAGAAACAUCGCUCAGAGCAUGGAGGUGAGGCCUCCCACCAAUGCCAUCUCGGCCCCGUCUCAUCUCUGUCACUCGAGCGGUGGUUCCAGCAUUUGAAACAUCAGGGUGAGGAGGGGGCCGACGGCAGGCGGACAGCGGAACUCAGGGUUGUGACUAAGUUACUCGACGGAAGGACCUUGAAAACCCGAGGGCAACGUGCGCUCACUGGGGACUCGAGCAGGAAAGCCAGUCCCUUGCGGCUCCCAAAGAGAGGUGAGCUCCAGGGUGACCGUCAGGUGUCCAAGCCUCUGGCGUGGGGCUGCUGCCACGGCCCUGCUCAGGAAAACCUGGGAUCCCGAUGGUGGAGCUGGUACGGCUGGAUGGACACCCCCGGGAUGCUGAGUUCCAGCCUGAGUCUGACGGUCGCUCUGAGCCUGCGUGGGAGCAGACCCCCUCCCUGUGAGGAGCUGGGUCCUUUCCUGACUUCCAAGCCUGCUGCAAGCCUGGCAUCACCGCAUGACCCAGCCUGCAACCUCCUUACGGAGGGGAGGGCGAGUCACACAGGGACAGACGGUGAGGACAGGAGCCCUGAGUGUCAGCAGUGGGAGGGCGACACCCACGCGGCUGGCGGUGCCGGGGCGCAGGGGCUCGCCAGGCCUCGAGGGCCGAUGGGACGCGCGCUGCCAACCGGGCUGGCGGUUUCCAUUUCCCAAAAACCCCUCAUGGUGCUGCGCUAGGUUCUGGCCCACAGCAAAGCGAUCUAGGUAAAUGCCUUCUUUUUGCAUUCUUCCCCAUUACAGGCUAUGGCAAGAUACUGCAUAGAGUUCCCUGUGCUGUCCAGCAGGCCCCUGCUUUCUGCGUGUUUUAUGCACACGAGUGCGUAUCUGCUGAUCCCAAGCUCCUGCUGCACCCCGCUCCCCUCCUGGCCCCCGUGGUAGCCGCAGUCUCCGUUUCUCUGUCUGUGGGUCUAUUUCCGUCUGUAUCAGUCUGUAGAUUCUACACAUAAUUGAUGUCAUAGACUAUUUCUCUCUCUGUGUGACUUACUUCCUUAGUGUGAUAACCUCCAGGCCCAUCCAUGUUGCUGCAAAUGCCACUGUUUCAUUUUUUUAUAGCUGAGUAAUAUUCCACUGUGUGUGCACGUGUGCGUGUGUGUGUGUGUGUGUUAGUCGCUCAGCUGUGUGCGACUCUUUGCGACCCAUGGACGCAGCCUUCCAGGUUUCUCUGUGCGUGGAAUUCUCCAGGCAAGAAUACUGGCGUGGGCUGCCAUUCUCGUGAUAUAUAUACACAUCACGUCUUCGCUAUCCACUCAUUUGUUGGUAGACAUUUCGGUGCUUCCACGUCUCGGCUAUUGUAGACUGUGCUGCUGUGAACAUAGGGAUGCGUGUAUCUUUCCAAAUUGUGGUUUUGCGCAGACAUAUGCCCAGGAGUGGGGCUGCUAGGUCCUUGCUGUUGCUGUGCAGUCUCUCAGCCGUGUCCAGCUCUUUGUGACCCCAGGGACUGCAGCACGCCAGACUUCCCUGACCUUCACUAUCUCCCGGAGUUUGCUUAAACUCAUGUCCAUCGAGUUGGUGAUGUUAUCUAACCAUCUCAUCCUCUGCACCCCCUUCUUUGGCCUUCAAUCUUUCCUGGCAUCAAAGUCUUUUCCUAUGAGCUGGCUCUUCACGUCAGGUGGCUCAAGUAUUGGAGUUUCAGCUUCAGCAUCAGUCCUUCUAAUGAAUAUUCAGGGCUGAUUUCCUUUAGGAUUGACUGGUUUAAUCCCCUUGCUGUUCAAGGGACUCUCAAGUUUUCUCCAACACCACAAUUCAAAAGCAUCAAUUCUUUGUGCUUGGCCUUCUUGAUAGUCCAACUCUCACAUCCAUACAUGACUACUGGAGAAACCAUGAUUUUGACUGUUUAGACCUUUGUGGGCAAAAUGAUAUCUCUGCUUUUAAUAUGCUUUCUAAAUCUUUCUUAGCUUUUCUUCCAAGGAGCAAGCGUCUUUUAAUUUCAUGACAGCACUUGCUGUCGGCAGUGACUUUGGAGCCCAAGGAAGCACAGUCCGCCCCUAACCUUCCUUACUGGACCUUUCAGAGGGCCCUCGUAGAUCCAGUCGUUGGGAUUGCUAACUGUCAAGUGUCUCAAUGUCAUUUAUAAAUUCGGAGACCGUGAAAAGGACCACUGCGUGGGUCUGUGAGCCCAGUAGACCAGUGUGGCUGGAUGUUGACCUGACUCUAUUUCUUGACCCCGUGGGUCUCCUCGUUAAUAGGGACCCAUGGCAGCUCUUCAAGAUCGGGGUAUCGGUGAUCUCUAUUUAACACCCCCACAAGCACACAGCCACUUGAGUGAAUGGCCUUGGUUACUUCAGGGGAACAGUCGAGAGACCCCAACAGCAGUGCUUACCAUGAUGUGUGAGGCCUUCCUCUCUCCAAGCAGCAGGUUCUGGGUCUGAACACAAAUGCAAGCGCGGCGGCAGGGCCGUGGCUGGGCUCUGCCGUGGGGCCGUCCUACCUUCGGCCUCUUUCACGUCCAUCCCUGAUCCCUUUCGAGAGCAGCUCCACCGAGAUACAGGCCACCUGUGGACAUUUGCAACUCACAGCCUGACAGCUUUGACACAUAUCAAACUCACACACGCAUGGUGGGUAAACUGCAGCCACAGCCGGGUGGCACGCACACCCGUGGCGCCCAAGGUGUCCUCCUGCCCCUCCCCUACCUGCCCCCUGCAAACGCUUGCUGUCGUGCUCUCCAGAGCCUUCUGUCCUUGGAACCAGGCAGGGAGCCCCCUCGUGUUCCUUUGGCUUCUUGCCUUCCGCACUGCCCCUGCCUAUCCUGGGCUUCCCUGGUGGUUCAGCUGGUAAGGAGUCCGCCUGCAACGCGGGAGGCCUGGGUUCCAUCCCUGAGCUGGGCGGAUCCCCUGGAGAAGGGAAAGGCUGCCCACUCCACUAUUUUGGCCUGGAGAAUCCCACGCACUGUAUAGUCCGUGGGGUUCCAAAGAGUCGGACACGACAGAGCGACUUUCCCUGAGACUGCUACCGCCUUCCUGAGCACCAGCUCCCCCAUUCCUUCUCGCCGCCCAGCGGACUCUGUCGCUUAGAGUCGCCCCUGCUCACUUUCAUCUGGUUUUCUGCGGAUGGGCAUUUCAGCUGUUUCCAGUCUGGGAUUGUUGCAAAUAAAGGCCUCAUGAGUGCCCGCUCGCAAGUCUUCAUGUGGGCGUGCUUUCUUCCUCUUGGGUAAACGCUGAGGCGGAGAGUGGCUGGGCUGUAUAUGGGAGGCGGGGGUGGCUGGG
This 3314-nucleotide long non-coding RNA is filed under the name Ovis aries (sheep). Its description in RNAcentral is "lncRNA (ENSOARG00000026132.1)". Lineage: Eukaryota; Metazoa; Chordata; Mammalia; Artiodactyla; Bovidae. The record is from RNAcentral.